CAGUAAAGUUACCGGUACUUACAUAUUUACAAAUACGCAAUAUGUACUUCGGAGAAAAAGUUAUUGAAAAGUAACAUAAUAUCGAUUACYCAAGUUAAUAUGCAAAGUAGCAAGCCACACAGUAUUACAAUACCGUAUAUGCCCUUAUCUGUCUAGAUUCAUAUGUUUGAAUUUGUAUGUGUGGUAAAGUAUUUACCUAAAUUUGAUGAACACUGAUACAAUUUGAAUUAAUAACAUGUAAGGAGAGCUAAGCAAUCGAACAUUUUAUACUUUUGCAAGGAUCAAAGUAAGAUAAAGUACUUUCACGUUUUUGGAAAACUUAACCUAUUCAACAAGUUCCUCUUCAACAAACGGCAAUUCUUCCUGGGAAUACAGCGUAAUGGAAGAGCUGUUAAGGGGUGAUGCACAGUCUACAGCUUCGUGAACUGUAAUAAAUUAGUUUAUAAAAAUAAAUAUAAACUUUUUAAAUUUCUAUUUUGUGUUACUAACCUGUGCUCACCUCCACCAAUGUUUCCAAAUGGAAGCAUUUAUAGCUCCCGAGGAUACUAUUUAUUUUAGGGUAGAAUUCCCAUGUCGAAGGGCUGCCGCCAGAGGGACCCAAUAGACUUCCUCUCAUCUCUGUAAAUUUUUUGAAAACUUUUAUAUGAAAUGCACAUGAAUAUUAAAUAAACUUACCUGUAUUUAUUUGUUAA
Molecule: long non-coding RNA, 692 nt
Organism: Bactrocera latifrons
Lineage: Eukaryota; Metazoa; Arthropoda; Insecta; Diptera; Tephritidae
Exons: 2
Source: RefSeq, a predicted model, not a curated record